This 665-nucleotide ribosomal RNA is filed under the name uncultured bacterium. RNAcentral's name for it is "bacterial SSU rRNA". It matches the Rfam family "Bacterial small subunit ribosomal RNA", at positions 111 to 794 of the family's 1533-position model. The record is from RNAcentral.
UAACGCGUGGAUAACCUGCCGUAUACCGGGGGAUAACACUUAGAAAUAGGUGCUAAUACCGCAUAAGCGCACGGCUCCGCAUGGGGCAGUGUGAAAAACUCCGGUGGUAUACGAUGGAUCCGCGUCUGAUUAGCUAGUUGGCGGGGUAACGGCCCACCAAGGCAGCGAUCAGUAGCCGGCCUGAGAGGGUGGACGGCCACAUUGGGACUGAGACACGGCCCAAACUCCUACGGGAGGCAGCAGUGGGGAAUAUUGCACAAUGGGGGAAACCCUGAUGCAGCGACGCCGCGUGAGUGAAGAAGUAUCUCGGUACGUAAAGCUCUAUCAGCAGGGAAGAAAAUGACGGUACCUGACUAAGAAGCCCCGGCUAACUACGUGCCAGCAGCCGCGGUAAUACGUAGGGGGCAAGCGUUAUCCGGAUUUACUGGGUGUAAAGGGAGCGUAGACGGCAGCACAAGUCUGGAGUGAAAUCCCGGGGCUUAACCCCGGAACUGCUUUGGAAACUGUGUAACUGGAGUACAGGAGGGGCAGGCGGAAUUCCUGGUGUAGCGGUGAAAUGCGUAGAUAUCAGGAGGAACACCGGCGGCGAAGGCGGCCUGCUGGACUGAAACUGACGUUGAGGCUCGAAAGCGUGGGGAGCAAACAGGAUUAGAUACCCUGGUAGU